RNAcentral lists this ribosomal RNA (457 nucleotides) under Mischocyttarus sp. 1 MDS-2020. RNAcentral's name for it is "partial large subunit ribosomal RNA". The record is from RNAcentral. Lineage: Eukaryota; Metazoa; Arthropoda; Insecta; Hymenoptera; Vespidae.
GGUUUUUCUGCCCGUUGAUUUUGAAAGGCUGCAGUAAUUUAACUGUACGAAGGUAGCAUAAUCAAUAGUUUUUUAAUUGAAAACUUGAAUGAAAGAAUUGAUAAGAUAUAAAUUGUCUCAAAAAUUGAAAUUAAAUUAAAAGUUAAAAUUCUUUUAUAUUUUUAAUAGACGAUAAGACCCUAAGAAUUUAAUAAAUUAAUUUAUUAUUUAAAUUAAAAUUUAAUUUAUUUAUUUUAUUGGGAGGGUAAUUAAAAAAAACUUUAAUUUUUAGUAACAAUGAUUAAUGAAUUUAAUGAUUAUUUUUAUAGUUGUAAGAAUAAAUUACCUUAGGGAUAACAGAGUAAUAAUUUUGGAAAGUUCAUAUUGAUAGAAUUGUUUACGACCUCGAUGUUGAAUUAAAAUAAAAAUUAAAUGAAGAUAUUUAAAUUUUUAGUCUGUUCGACUAUUAAAAUUUUAC